Aedes albopictus (Asian tiger mosquito) is the source of this 742-nucleotide long non-coding RNA. RefSeq lists it as uncharacterized. The transcript has 2 exons. Lineage: Eukaryota; Metazoa; Arthropoda; Insecta; Diptera; Culicidae. The record is from RefSeq and is a predicted model, not a curated record.
AGCAAAGUUAAAAUGAUCGUUUAAAGUGUGGUCGACAAGAAUUCUGCAAAUAUUACGUCUGUUUUUCUGUGGUGUGACGUUUAUAUGCCUGUUUAUAAUGAUUGCCUUUUACGUAAAUGAUUGGCCAUUCCCGCGAUGUAAAUUUUCUUCAUUAAAUGCAUGCCAUCCCUUGAUGCUCAGUAGGAAUCCCCAGUAAUUUAAAACAACAAUGAUUAACACAGCGUAUCUCUUAUCGCAACGAUGAAGCUCAGUGUAAAGACUUUUCACUCGUCAGUCACUUGGAUUGUUUUAUGCGUACCUUCGUUUGCAACAGUAUUCAACUAUAGUUUUACAAUGCACGUCAUACUCAUCGUUUCUACUGUACUACUGCUGGGAGUUGCAUCGUCUUCCGCUUUCGUCUGUCCCCAACUCCACUUGGCCAAUGAUUUUCAUCCGCACGAAACGGACAUCGCCAAAUACUACAACUGUACGAGAGGAAUCGCUACGGUACAAACUUGUGAGAGCAAUACAAUUUUUAGCCGAAUGACGCGCAGAUGUACUGCGGUGUGGUCCGCUGACAAUGAAAGUGAUACUGAAGUGGCGCCGAACUUCAACUUAGCGGAAAAUUACUGAUUUCCUCCGGAAUCCGUGUUGAGGAAAUUGAUCUGUCCAGUUUACCAUGUAAAAAGGGUCGAAUUAGCCCUGGAUUCAAAACUUCUUUCAAUAAAAAUAAAAAUUAUUUUUAUAGUGUUGCUGAGGUUUA